GAUGAAGAACGCAGCGAAAUGCGAUAAGUAAUGUGAAUUGCAGAAUUCAGUGAAUCAUCGAAUCUUUGAACGCACAUUGCGCCCGCCAGUAUUCUGGCGGGCUUGCCUGUUCGAGCGUCAUUUCAACCAUCAAGCCCCCGGGCUUGUGUUGGGGACCUGCGGCUGCCGCAGGCCCUGAAAAGCAGUGGCGGGCUCGCUGUCACACCGAGCGUAGUAGCAUACAUCUCGCUCUGGGCGUGCUGCGGGUUCCGGCCGUUAAACCACCUUUUAACCCAAGGUUGACCUCGGAUCAGGUAGGAAGACCCGCUGAACUUAAGCAUAUCAAUAAGCGGAGGA
Molecule: unclassified non-coding RNA, 336 nt
Filed under: soil metagenome
Description: partial contains 5.8S ribosomal RNA, internal transcribed spacer 2, and large subunit ribosomal RNA
Rfam family: 5.8S ribosomal RNA (bases 1-120)
Source: RNAcentral